GUCUCCCUACGGGGCGCAGCAGUAGGGAAUUUUCGUCAAUGGGCGCAAGCCUGAACGAGCGAUGCCGCGUGAGUGAAGAAGGCCUUCGGGUCGUAAAGCUCUGUUGCGGGGGGAAAAAGGCAUCUGCAGGAAAUGGUAGAUGACAGAUGGUGCCCCGCCAGAAAGUCACGGCUAACUACGUGCCAGCAGCCGCGGGAAUACGUAGGUGGCGAGCGUUAUCCGGAAUGAUUGGGCGUAAAGGGUGCGCAGGCGGUCCUGCAAGUCUGGAGUGAAACGUAUGAGCUCCA
RNAcentral lists this ribosomal RNA (287 nucleotides) under uncultured bacterium. RNAcentral's name for it is "partial 16S ribosomal RNA". It matches the Rfam family "Bacterial small subunit ribosomal RNA", at positions 333 to 612 of the family's 1533-position model. The record is from RNAcentral.